GGCGGAUUAGCCAAGAUCUGAUGU
Molecule: transfer RNA, 24 nt
Filed under: Trichostigma octandrum
Lineage: Eukaryota; Viridiplantae; Streptophyta; Magnoliopsida; Caryophyllales; Phytolaccaceae
Description: partial tRNA-His
Source: RNAcentral